UAUAUCACCAAACAAUCCCCUCCCUUUCCGAAGCAACGGCAGUACGGCUUUAGCAGCCGAAGCGACGUAGUCAUCAGGAGCGACAUCAAUGGUAGCGCGUACAUCCUUUGAGAAGAGAUAGAAGAACCUAGCGAGGAGAAAGAGACAUAUAUUGGGGUUUUCCGUCUUGCAUCGACGGCAGUUCGGCUUCGCCGACAGGAGCGGCGACAUCAGGAGCGACAUUAGUAGCAAAGCAGGUUCCUCAGAGCGACGACGGAGAGAGAAAACGAUGACCAUUGCGUGACGUAACCGAAUCAGGACAUCAACGAGUCUCUCCAAAGAUCCGCUCCUCUCCAUCCUGUUCCGGUAGAGAUGGAUCUGCAACACAUGAGACGUACAACUCCUUUUUUGCGGAGGUCGCAGUUCCUCCGACGUCAUUGACCGGACUCCCCCUGUUCAUCAGGGGGAGUCCACCGUCCCCUGGGACAGCGCGGCCUCCCACCGCCCCCGGGGUCCCAGGGGACCCAGUCCCCGAGGAUUUGUCUCCGGGGAUUCGGUAUCC
This is a long non-coding RNA of Athalia rosae (coleseed sawfly), 541 nucleotides long. RefSeq lists it as uncharacterized. The record is from RefSeq and is a predicted model, not a curated record. Lineage: Eukaryota; Metazoa; Arthropoda; Insecta; Hymenoptera; Athaliidae. The transcript has 4 exons.